UGGGGAAUUUUCCGCAAUGGGCGAAAGCCUGACGGAGCAAUACCGCGUGCGGGAGGAAGCUUUUUGGAGUGUAAACCGCUUUUCUCUGGGAAGAUAAUGACGGUACCAGAGGAAUCAGCAUCGGCUAACUUCGUGCCAGCAGCCGCGGUAAUACGAGGGAUGCAAGCGUUAUCCGGAAUUAUUGGGCGUAAAGCGUUCGUAGGUGGCUAGAUAAGUCUGUCGUCAAAGCAUGGAGCUUAACUCCAUUAAGGCGAUGGAAACUGUUUGGCUAGAGUGUGGUAGGGGUAACAGGAAUUCCCAGUGUAGCGGUGAAAUGCGUAGAUAUUGGGAAGAACACCAGCGGCGAAAGCGUGUUACUGGGCCACAACUGACACUGAGGGACGAAAGCUAGGGGAGCGAA
Molecule: ribosomal RNA, 400 nt
Filed under: uncultured bacterium
Lineage: Bacteria
Description: bacterial SSU rRNA
Rfam family: Bacterial small subunit ribosomal RNA
Source: RNAcentral